UACGGAGACUGCAAGCGUUAUUCGGAUUCACUGGGCGUAAAGGGUGCGCAGGCGGUCGUGUGUGUCAGGUGUGAAAUCUCGGAGCUCAACUCCGAAACUGCGCCUGAAACUACACGGCUAGAGUAUCGGAGAGGUGAGCGGAAUUCACGGUGUAGCAGUGAAAUGCGUAGAUAUCGUGAGGAACACCAGAGGCGAAGGCGGCUCACUGGACGAUUACUGACGCUCAGGCACGAAAGCGUGGGGAGCAAAAGGG
Molecule: non-coding RNA, 253 nt
Filed under: Opitutaceae bacterium
Lineage: Bacteria; Pseudomonadati; Verrucomicrobiota; Opitutia; Opitutales; Opitutaceae
Also listed under: 2 other names
Description: partial 16S ribosomal RNA
Rfam family: Bacterial small subunit ribosomal RNA
Source: RNAcentral